GGGGUGAGAACACGUGAGUAACCUGCCCUCGACUUCGGGAUAACUCCGGGAAACCGGGGCUAAUACCGGAUAUGAGCCGUCCUCGCAUGGGGGUGGUUGGAAAGUUUUUCGGUCAGGGAUGGGCUCGCGGCCUAUCAGCUUGUUGGUGGGGUGAUGGCCUACCAAGGCGACAACGGGUAGCCGGCCUGAGAGGGCGACCGGCCACACUGGGACUGAGACACGGCCCAGACUCCUACGGGAGGCAGCAGUGGGGAAUAUUGCACAAUGGGCGAAAGCCUGAUGCAGCGACGCCGCGUGAGGGAUGAAGGCCUUCGGGUUGUAAACCUCUUUCAGCAGGGAAAAAACGCAAGUGACGGUACCUGCAAAAAAAGCGCCGGCUAACUACUUGCCAGCAACCGCGGUAAUACUUAGGGCGCAAGCGUUGUCCGGAAUUAU
RNAcentral lists this ribosomal RNA (435 nucleotides) under Cellulosimicrobium funkei. Its description in RNAcentral is "bacterial SSU rRNA". It matches the Rfam family "Bacterial small subunit ribosomal RNA", at positions 100 to 554 of the family's 1533-position model. Lineage: Bacteria; Bacillati; Actinomycetota; Actinomycetes; Micrococcales; Promicromonosporaceae. The record is from RNAcentral.